UCGAGAAUCUUUCGCAAUGGGCGAAAGCCUGACGAAGCGACGCUGCGUGAGCGAAGAAGGCCUUUUUGGUUGUAAAGCUCUUUCGCUUGGGAACAAGAAAUGUUCUCUAAUAUAGAACAAAUUUGAGGGUACCAGGUAAAGAAGCACCGGCUAACUCCGUGCCAGCAGCUGCGGUAAUACGGAGGGUGCAAGCAUUAAUCGGAUUUAUUGGGCGUAAAGGGCGCUUAAGGCGGGUAUGAAAGUCAGGUGUGAAAUCCCGGGGCUCACCCCCGGAACAGCAUUUGAAACUCCAUAUCUAGAGGGUUGGCGGAGAAAACGGAAUUCCACAAGUAGCGGUGAAAUGCGUAGAUAUGUGGAAGAACACCAGUGGCGAAGGCGGUUUUCUAGCUUCCUCCUGACGCUGAUGCGCGAAAGCAAGGGGAGCAAACAGGAUUAGAUACCCCCGUAGUCC
RNAcentral lists this ribosomal RNA (451 nucleotides) under uncultured bacterium. Its description in RNAcentral is "bacterial SSU rRNA". It matches the Rfam family "Bacterial small subunit ribosomal RNA", at positions 355 to 796 of the family's 1533-position model. The record is from RNAcentral.